UACAGAGGGUGCGAGCGUUAAUCGGAAUUACUGGGCGUAAAGCGUGCGUAGACGGUAGCGUAAGUCAGAUGUGAAAGCCCCGGGCUCAACCUGGGAAUUGCAUUUGAGACUGCUCUGCUCGGGUGCGGAAGAGGGAAGCGGAAUUUCCGGUGUAGCGGUGAAAUGCGUAGAUAUCGGAAGGAACACCAGUGGCGAAAGCGGCUUCCUGGUCCGACACCGACGUUCAGGCACGAAAGCGUGGGGAGCGAACAGG
RNAcentral lists this ribosomal RNA (253 nucleotides) under uncultured bacterium. Its description in RNAcentral is "partial 16S ribosomal RNA". It matches the Rfam family "Bacterial small subunit ribosomal RNA", at positions 524 to 776 of the family's 1533-position model. The record is from RNAcentral.